This 494-nucleotide ribosomal RNA is filed under the name uncultured bacterium. RNAcentral describes it as "partial 16S ribosomal RNA". The stretch from base 62 to 494 matches the Rfam family "Bacterial small subunit ribosomal RNA", at positions 39 to 507 of the family's 1533-position model. The record is from RNAcentral.
GGGGGGGGGGGGGGGGGGGGGGGGGGGGGGCGGGGCGGGCGGGGGGGGGGGGGCGGGGGGGGUGGGGGGGGAGGAGGGGCGGGCGGGUGGGGGAGGCGUGAGUAACCUGCCCCCUUCGGCUGGGGAACCGCAUGAAAGUGUGGCUCAUACGGGAUAUUCUGGGUCUGUCGCAUGAUGGGUCUGGGGCAGAUAUUGUUUCGGUGGGGGAUGGGGUCGCGGCCGAUCAGCUGGUUGGUGGGGUGAUUGCCUACCGAGGCGGUGACGUGCAGCCGGCCUGAGAGGGUGGACGGUCACACUGGGACUGAGACACGGCCCGGACUCCUACGGGAGGCAGCAGGGGGGAAUAUUGCACAAUGGGCGCAAGCCUGAUGCAGCGACGCCGCGGGAGGGAUGGAGGCCUGCGGGUUGUGAACCUCUUUCGCCAGUGAAGCAGGCCUGCCUCGUUUGUGGGUGGGUUGACGGUAGCUGGAGAAGAAGCGCCGGCUAACUACGUG